RNAcentral lists this ribosomal RNA (758 nucleotides) under Boodlea composita. RNAcentral describes it as "s-ribosomal RNA". Lineage: Eukaryota; Viridiplantae; Chlorophyta; Ulvophyceae; Cladophorales; Boodleaceae. The record is from RNAcentral.
AACCCCCCCCCGGGGGGUUUUUUACGCUUUUUUUUUUUGCCCCAAAAAGUUUCAAAAAAAAAGCUAAAAAACCCCCCCAGGUUUCUUUUUUUUGGCGGCUGGGCGUUUUUUAAGGGCCAUUUUCAGGCAUUUCCCCACUUUGGGGCUUUAAGCGGGGUUUUUCCCCCAAAAAAAAAAUUUGGGGUUGGAAAAGGGCCGAACCCGGGGCUUGCCGGGCCAAUCGUUUGAAAGGAAAAAAGGGGGGGUUGUUUACCUAAAAAUACAACCGGCCCCCGCAAAAAAAAAGCCCCCAGGAAGGGGGGGCAAAACCCGGUUUUUUUUGGGCACCUUUGGCCCCCCCAAAUUAAAACCUAAAUGGGGAAAAAAAAAAACUUUUUUUUGUGCACAACCCCGGCCAUUUUAAAUUUUGCCCACGGGGCCCAUUUUUCCCCAACCCCCCUUCCUUUGGGGGGGCUAAGAAAAAAAAUAGUUUUUGGGCAAGGCUAUAGGGGGGCCAAAAAAGUGUAGCCAUUUAAGACCAGAUAAAAAAAAAAAAAUUAAAUUUUUUUUUUUUUUUUUUUACCUUUUGGGACAAACUUUUUUGGUUGAAAAAAAAAAAAAAGCCAAAAAAGCGGGGUCCCAAAGGUUAUUUUUUUUUUUUUUGCCGGGGGGCAAAAAAAAAAAAAAAAAAAACCUUUUUGGCCCCCCCCCCACGUGGGGGGGAAAAAAUUUUUUUUUAAAAAAACCAACCGGCAAACGGGGGGAACAAAAAGCUAAAU